CUGUGGUCAAGGCCCAGGACCGGGGUAAAGAAAUCCAGUGGUCAUCAAUUGCCCCUUCACCUUCUCGGUAGUUAUUGCUUUCAACUGCCGAGGGGGGGAAUAUCAAGAAUCAUUAUGACCGCGUCUGUUCGUGUUCAGAUGCCUUCAUAACAUCCUUUAAUCUUUCUGUCAUUGCGCAGUUUUUGAAUCUUAUCUGCUUUUUCCCCUUUCUGGCUUUUCUCUAUUCUUCGUGUCCUCUGUUACCUUUGCUUUCUUGUCGUCAUUAUCUGGACAUGUCCUUUCUUUCCUUUCCCAUGAACAUCUGUCAUUGCUAGCUUAGAGUCUCAUAUAACUCUAUCUUGUGCUAGGGCCUCAGACUUCCGGG
This 364-nucleotide long non-coding RNA is filed under the name Manihot esculenta (cassava). RNAcentral describes it as "long non-coding RNA (MESC_LNC003013)". The record is from RNAcentral. Lineage: Eukaryota; Viridiplantae; Streptophyta; Magnoliopsida; Malpighiales; Euphorbiaceae.